UACGUAGGGUCCGAGCGUUGCCCGGAAUUAUUGGGCGUAAAGGGCUCGUAGGCGGUUCGUCACGUCGGGAGUGAAAACUCGGAGCUUAACUCCGAGCCUGCUUCCGAUACGGGCAGACUAGAGGUAGGCAGGGGAGAGCGGAACUCCUGGUGUAGCGGUGGAAUGCGCAGAUAUCAGGAAGAACGCCGGUGGCGAAGGCGGCUCUCUGGGCCUUACCUGACGCUGAGGAGCGAAAGCGUGGGUAGCGAACAGG
This 253-nucleotide ribosomal RNA is filed under the name uncultured bacterium. Its description in RNAcentral is "partial 16S ribosomal RNA". It matches the Rfam family "Bacterial small subunit ribosomal RNA", at positions 524 to 776 of the family's 1533-position model. The record is from RNAcentral.